AUGAACGCUAGCGGCAGGCUUAACACAUGCAAGUCGAGGGGCAGCAUGAGACGGAGAUUCGUCGAAGUCUUGAUGGCGACCGGCGCAAGGGUGCGUAACGCGUGAGCAACUUGCCCGUUUCAGGGGGAUAACCGGUGGAAACGCCGACUAAUACCCCAUAGUAUUGAGUUUAGGCAUCUUUACUCAAUUAAAGAAUUUCGGAAACGGAUAGGCUCGCGUGACAUUAGCUAGAUGGCGGGGUAACGGCCCACCAUGGCGACGAUGUCUAGGGGUUCUGAGAGGAAGGUCCCCCACACUGGAACUGAGACACGGUCCAGACUCCUACGGGAGGCAGCAGUGAGGAAUAUUGGUCAAUGGUCUGACGACUGAACCAGCCAUGCCGCGUGAAGGUCACGGCCCUAUGGGUCUUAAACUUCUUUUGCGAGGGAGCAAUAAGGCGCACGUGUGCGUCGAUGAGAGUACCUUGCGAAUAAGCAUCGGCUAACUCCGUG
RNAcentral lists this ribosomal RNA (491 nucleotides) under uncultured bacterium. RNAcentral's name for it is "bacterial SSU rRNA". It matches the Rfam family "Bacterial small subunit ribosomal RNA", at positions 29 to 507 of the family's 1533-position model. The record is from RNAcentral.